AAGAGUAUGACAUUGCUCACAUUGCUUCCAAUGUUUGCCAGCUUAAUAAUUUAGGCUGGCUUUUU
RNAcentral lists this non-coding RNA (65 nucleotides) under Orbus hercynius. The record is from RNAcentral. Lineage: Bacteria; Pseudomonadati; Pseudomonadota; Gammaproteobacteria; Orbales; Orbaceae.